Molecule: small nuclear RNA, 107 nt
Organism: Octodon degus (degu)
Lineage: Eukaryota; Metazoa; Chordata; Mammalia; Rodentia; Octodontidae
Source: Ensembl
AUGCUCACCUCGGCAGCACAUAUACUAAAACCAGAACUAUACAGAGAAGAUUAGCAUAUCCCCUGAGCGAGGAUGACACACAAAUUCGUGAAGCUUUCCAUAUUUUU